This is a long non-coding RNA of Malania oleifera, 1429 nucleotides long. RefSeq lists it as uncharacterized. The record is from RefSeq and is a predicted model, not a curated record. NCBI's taxonomy places the organism in Eukaryota, Viridiplantae, Streptophyta, Magnoliopsida, Santalales, Ximeniaceae. The transcript is spliced from 3 exons.
GUUCUCAUUUUCACCAGAAAACCAAAGCUACUUCCCUCCAAAACCUCCUGGCUCUCUCUCUCUCUUUGUUCUCACGGAUUAUCUGUUUUUCUGGUACAUUUUCACCCAUUUGAAUUUUUCAAUCGAGUUUUGCGCGUAUAUGAUGAACAAAAGCUUGAAUUCGUCUAACUGUACGAUCAGUCAGCACAAAACCGUAAAAAAUUUUCAGAAAAUUUCUUGUAUGGAUUGGCAAUUUUCAAAUACCAUAAAUCACAGGGGGCAGUACAGCUAUUACAGGAAGGAUCGUCACAGUGACAAGGGGAAGGAACUGGAAGGGGAAUUCAAAAUCAUGCUCUGCCUUCCGUGGCCAAGGACGUAGCUUUGUUCAGAAGCCUCAGGCAAGGACAGAUCAGACCACAGCAAGCAAUAGCCAAUCUAGUGGGCCUUCAAAUUCAUCCAACCACAACUCUUUCCACUUGUAAAAUUUCCAGAAUGGUCCAUUCAUCUCCUCCAACUCCAUGUGCUAUGGUUCUGCCAGUGCAGCAUAUGAGUUGUGUCAACCACCAGCUGUGAAUCAUAAUGGGGUUCCUCCACCAUCUGGAACUGCAGGACACUGUUAUGCUGAAUUCAUGUGAUGAAAUCUCACAGCUUAGUCAAGGUUCACCAGAGGGUUACAAUAAUCAGAUAAAGUUCCUGGGGGUUCUGCUCAUUCUUUGACUGAUCAGCCAUCUUCAUCAAUCUUCAAAGGUGUUGCUCAGGUUUUUCUGGAAAGUUGGUGACAAUUUCAAUUAGCCUGAAGUCUCUUACGAUUUUUUUUUCCCAACUAUUGAUGGAGAGAUAUUAGUUGCUUUAUGGGGCAUUAUAGCAGUUGCUCCCUGUUCGCAUGGUCUUCUUUCUUCUCUUAUCUGCUCAAAAGUUGGUCCACAGACACUGGGAGACAAAGCCAGGGUAGAACUGUGUAUUUUUUGGCCUGAUGAUAGGUGAGGUUGAUACUUUUGCAAGAUUGGCCAGGAAGGAUUAUCUGUUAAGCAAGACAGUUUUCCCUCCUUCAUUUCUGAACUGGGAAGGCAAUGUGUUCUAAAAACCUUUCUUUGUUAAAAUCUUCCAAUACAGACUCUUUUGUAGUAGUAUGGGGCGGCUGAACAUCUAGUUAUUGCCUAUAGGCUUGGUGAAAUUCCAAGGAAGGAGGGGUUAUCUUGAGCAUAUUUUUGAACGUCACCCAGUCCCAGCUGAGCUGUGGAUCCCUCACAGGUAAAGAAAUUUGCAUGGUUAUACUUUUGGCGUUGUUGCGUUAGAACAUGGUUGUGUAUAUAUGAUGUUAAUAUUUGGCUUCUUUGCAAUAUUUUCUUGCCCAAUGAUUCAUGGGUUUUUGUUGCACUUCUUGCUUCACUUAGUUACAAAUGUAAUUUACCAUAUCAUUGUCCAAAAAUAGAAAAUAGAUGUGUGAAAA